This is a long non-coding RNA of Vigna angularis (adzuki bean), 543 nucleotides long. RefSeq lists it as uncharacterized. The transcript has 3 exons. NCBI's taxonomy places the organism in Eukaryota, Viridiplantae, Streptophyta, Magnoliopsida, Fabales, Fabaceae. The record is from RefSeq and is a predicted model, not a curated record.
UUCAGUACAGUUAGUUAACUAUGGAUUCAGUUUUCCUGUUUCCUUUCUCGAUUACAAUUAGGUUUUCUUAUUUCUUUUCUCAAUCACAAUUUUCUCCGGAUCUCUUGUUACAUCCGUCAAAGGCUCGUUCGCCGUUGAAGAUUGCUUCUGUCUAAGGUUCGCCGCUGUCAAAGACUCGCGUUGAAGGCUUUGCCGCACUCUGCCGUCGCUACCACAUCGUCAAAGGUUCUGAGAACACUUCUCGCCGGAAAGAGAAGCAAAUCUGCAACCAAAGUUUUUGCAGCGUCUUGGUGUUGAUUACAUUGAUCUCUAUUAUCAGCACAGAGUGGACCAAUCUACACCUAUAGAGGAUACAUUUGUUAUAUUUUAGGUGGCUGAACUCAAGAAACUGGUGGAAGAUGGUAAAGUGAAGUAUAUUGGAUUAUCUGAAGCGAGUCCAGAUACUAUAAGGAGAGCGCACGCAGUUCAUCCCAUCACAGCUGUGCAACUGGAGUGGUCUCUGUGGACUCGUGACGUUGAGGAAGAGAUAAUCCCACUCUGCAG